RNAcentral lists this ribosomal RNA (503 nucleotides) under uncultured bacterium. RNAcentral describes it as "partial 16S ribosomal RNA". It matches the Rfam family "Bacterial small subunit ribosomal RNA", at positions 29 to 522 of the family's 1533-position model. The record is from RNAcentral.
AUUGAACGCUGGCGGCAGGCCUAACACAUGCAAGUCGAGCGGUAGCACAGAGAGCUUGCUCUCGGGUGACGAGCGGCGGACGGGUGAGUAAUGUCUGGGAAACUGCCUGAUGGAGGGGGAUAACUACUGGAAACGGUAGCUAAUACCGCAUAACGUCGCAAGACCAAAGUGGGGGACCUUCGGGCCUCAUGCCAUCAGAUGUGCCCUGAUGGGAUUAGCUAGUAGGUGGGGUAACGGCUCACCUAGGCGACGAUCCCUAGCUGGUCUGAGAGGAUGACCAGGCACACUGGAACUGAGACACGGUCAAGACUCCUACGGGAAGCAGCAGUGGGGAAUAGUGCAGAAUGGGCGCAAGCCUGAUGCAGCCAGGCCGCGUGUGUGAAGAAGGCCUUCGGGUUGUAAAGCACUUUCAGCGGGGAGGAAGGCGGUGAGGUUAAUAACCUCAUCGAUUGACGUUACCCGCAGAAGAAGCACCGGCUAACUCCGUGCCAGCCGCCGCGUAA